GACGAACGUUGGCGGCGUGCUUAAUACAUGCAAGUCAACUGAGGCAGUGGUAGCAAUCUCGCUGUGGAGGUGGCGCACGGGUGAGUAACACGUAGGUAAUCUGCCUUCAGGUCUGGCAUAACUCCGGGAAACCGGGGCUAAUAGCAGAUGAUGCAGCGGCUCGACAUCGAGACAGUUGUUAAAGCUAUGGCGCCUGAAGAUGAGCCUGCGUCUGAUUAGCUAGUUGGCGGGGUAACGGCCCACCAAGGCAACGAUCAGUAGCUGGUCUGAGAGGAUGAUCAGCCACACUGGAACUGAGACACGGUCCAGACUCCUACGGGAGGCAGCAGUAAGGAAUAUUGCUCAAUGGGAGAAAUCCUGAAGCAGCAACGCCGCGUGAGGGACGAAGGGCUUUUGCUUGUAAACCUCUGUAGUGAGAGAAAAAAAUCCCAAUCUUUGGGACAUGAUGGUAUCUCAAAAGUAAGCCCCGGCUAACUACGUG
RNAcentral lists this ribosomal RNA (481 nucleotides) under uncultured bacterium. RNAcentral describes it as "partial 16S ribosomal RNA". It matches the Rfam family "Bacterial small subunit ribosomal RNA", at positions 28 to 507 of the family's 1533-position model. The record is from RNAcentral.